AGAGUUUGAUCAUGGCUCAGAGCGAACGCUGGCGGCAGGCCUAAAACAUGCAAGUCGAACGGAUCCUUCGGGAUUAGUGGCGGACGGGUGAGUAACACGUGGGAACGUGCCUUUGGUUCGGAACAACUCAGGGAAACUUGAGCUAAUACCGAAUGUGCCCUUCGGGGGAAAGAUUUAUCGCCAUUAGAGCGGCCCGCGUCUGAUUAGCUUGUUGGUGAGGUAAAAGGCUCACCAAGGCGACGAUCAGUAGCUGGUCUGAGAGGAUGAUCAGCCACACUGGGACUGAGACACGGCCCAGACUCCUACGGGAGGCAGCAGUUAGGAAUCUUGCGCAAUGGGGGGAAACCCUGACGCAGCCAUGCCGCGUGAAUGAUGAAGGUCUUAGGAUUGUAAAAUUCUUUCAGCGGGGACGAUAAUGACGGUACCCGCAGAAGAAGCCCCGGCUAACUUCGUG
RNAcentral lists this ribosomal RNA (454 nucleotides) under uncultured bacterium. Its description in RNAcentral is "bacterial SSU rRNA". It matches the Rfam family "Bacterial small subunit ribosomal RNA", at positions 8 to 507 of the family's 1533-position model. The record is from RNAcentral.